RNAcentral lists this ribosomal RNA (1781 nucleotides) under gut metagenome. Its description in RNAcentral is "eukaryotic LSU rRNA". It matches the Rfam family "Eukaryotic large subunit ribosomal RNA", at positions 1091 to 2898 of the family's 3401-position model. The record is from RNAcentral.
UUAAUUAAUCUCUGAGUUUGAAUAUGAGUUGCAAGUGGGCCAUUCCGGGUAAGCUGGACUGGCAAUGCGGGAUCAACCGAACGCUAUGUUACGGUGCCUUAUUAUUCGCUCAGUUCGAUGUAAAAGGUGUUAGUUCAUCUAGACAGCAGGACGGUGGCCAUGGAAGUCGGAAUCCGCUAAGGAGUGUGUAACAACUCACCUGCCGAAUGAAGUAGCCCUGAAAAUGGAUGGCGCUAAAGCGAAUAACCUAUACAUAGCCAACACAAUUAGGAUUGUAUGGUGUUGAGUAGGAAUGCGUGAUGAAUGUUGUGAAGUAUAUCGUGUGAACGAAUAUGGAACAUUCAUUAGUGCAGAUCUUGGUGGAAGUAGCAAAUAUUCAAAUGAGAUCUUUGAAGACUGAAGUGGAGAAAGGUUCCAUAGGAAUAGUGAUUAUCUAUGGGUUAGUCGAUCCUAAGAGAUAAGUGAAAUCUGUUGAAAGUAUAACAUUUGGUUAUAAGUUAUCGAAAGGGAAUCAGGUUAAUAUUCCUGAACCAAAUAGUAUAAGAAACGGUAACGUAUAUUCCUCUUGAGACAUUUCUAUUAUUCCCAGGAAGAGUUUUCUUUUCUUGUUAACAAUAUUUGAGUGCUUGGAAUUAAUUCAGUUAGCGAUAAGCAUUGAAUAUUGGUAAAGUAGUAUACUAUUGUAUAUUAUCUGGUGCAAUGAUAGGGAUCCUUGAAAAUGAAGAGGUAAAAUCUUAGAAUAUUUGGUCGUACUAAUAACCGCAUCAGGUCUCCAAGGUGAAUAGCCUCUAGUUAAUAGAAUAAUGUAGAUAAGGGAAGUCGGCAAAUUAGAUCCGUAACUUCGGGAAAAGGAUUGGCUCUGAGGGCUAAGUGGAUAUGAGUGUUAGGUAUGUGUUGGUAUGGUAUGAAUGUUGUUUUUGAUGGCUUCGGUUGUUGAGAAUGGCAUUUAUAGUAUUCCUACCCAUCCUGUCACUCUCCCACUAUGAAUAGCUAACUCAGAACUGGUACGGACAAGGGGAAUCCGACUGUUUAAUUAAAACAAAGCAUUGUGAUAGUGUGAAAGAUAUAUUGACACAAUGUGAAUUCUGCCCAGUGCUCUGAAUGUCAAAGUGGCGUAAUUCAACCAAGCGCGGGUAAACGGCGGGAGUAACUAUGACUCUCUUAAGGUAGCCAAAUGCCUCGUCAUCUAAUUAGUGACGCGCAUGAAUGGAUUAAUGAGAUUCCCACUGUCCCUAUCUACUAUCUAGCGAAACCACAGCCAAGGGAACGGGCUUGGAAAAAUCAGCGGGGAAAGAAGACCCUGUUGAGCUUGACUCUAGUUUAACAUUGUGAAAUGACUUUAGAGGUGUAGCAUAGGUGGGAGAAGCAAUUCGAUCCUGAAAUACCACUACUCUGAAUGUUGUUUUACUUAUUCCAUGAAAAAGGAUAGUAUAUUCGUAUACUGUUAAGAAGUAAAUUGGUUUAUCCAAUGACCUAAAUGGGAGACAUUGUUAGGUGGGGAGUUCGGCUGGGGCGGCACAUCUGUUAAAGAAUAACACAGGUGUCCUAAGAUGAGCUCAAUAAGAACAGAAAUCUUAUGUAGAACAAAAGGGUAAAAGCUCAUUUGAUUUUGGUUUUCAGUAUGAUCACAAACUAUGCAAGUAUGGCCUAUCGAUCCUUUAUAUUUAGUGAGAUCCUAGAUAGAGGUGUCAGAAAAGUUACCACAGGGAUAACUGGCUUGUGGCGGCCAAGAGUUCAUAUCGACGUCGCUUUUUGAUUCUUCGAUGUCGGCUCUUCCUAUC